CCUACGGGGGGCAGCAGUGAGGAAUAUUGGUCAAUGGCCGAGAGGCUGAACCAGCCAAGUCGCGUGAGGGAAGACGGCCCUACGGGUUGUAAACCUCUUUUGUCGGGGAGCAAAGCGAGUCACGUGUGACUCAUUGAGAGUACCCGAAGAAAAAGCAUCGGCUAACUCCGUGCCAGCAGCCGCGGUAAUACGGAGGAUGCGAGCGUUAUCCGGUUUUAUUGGGUGUAAAGGGUGCGCAGGCGGGGGUGCAAGUCAGCGGUCAAAUUGCGGGGCUCAACCCCGUACUGCCGUUGAAACUGCAGCCCUUGAGUGCGCGAGAAGUAGGCGGAAUGCGUGGUGUAGCGGUGAAAUGCAUAGAUAUCACGCAGAACUCCGAUUGCGAAGGCAGCAUACCGGCGCGCAACUGACGCUCAUGCACGAAAGCGUGGGUAUCGAACAGGAUUAGAUACCCUUGUAGUC
RNAcentral lists this ribosomal RNA (459 nucleotides) under uncultured bacterium. RNAcentral describes it as "partial 16S ribosomal RNA". It matches the Rfam family "Bacterial small subunit ribosomal RNA", at positions 338 to 795 of the family's 1533-position model. The record is from RNAcentral.